RNAcentral lists this ribosomal RNA (200 nucleotides) under Oidiodendron maius. RNAcentral describes it as "partial large subunit ribosomal RNA". It matches the Rfam family "Eukaryotic large subunit ribosomal RNA", at positions 82 to 279 of the family's 3401-position model. The record is from RNAcentral. Lineage: Eukaryota; Fungi; Ascomycota; Leotiomycetes; Myxotrichaceae.
AGUAACGGCGAGUGAAGCGGCAACAGCUCAAAUUUGAAAUCUGGCCCUCUCAGGGUCCGAGUUGUAAUUUGGAGAGGAUGCUUCGGGUGUGGCCCCGGUCUAAGUUCCUUGGAACAGGACGUCACAGAGGGUGAGAAUCCCGUACGUGCCCGGUGGCCGCCCCCGUGUGAAGCUCCUUCGACGAGUCGAGUUGUUUGGGA